GCCGCGAUCGUCUAGUGGUUAGGACAUUAGUUUGUGGUUAAUGAACUGAUCGGAAACACUGAAAACGGCGGUUCGAUUCCGCCUCGUGGCA
This is a non-coding RNA of Stachybotrys elegans, 91 nucleotides long. NCBI's taxonomy places the organism in Eukaryota, Fungi, Ascomycota, Sordariomycetes, Hypocreales, Stachybotryaceae. The record is from the annotation of a GenBank genome assembly.